CACAACGAAGCUGAUUCAGCAUUUAACUGUUAAUUAAAAGGCAGCCUUUUAAGGCCGAUGUGA
Molecule: transfer RNA, 63 nt
Filed under: Elysia chlorotica (eastern emerald elysia)
Lineage: Eukaryota; Metazoa; Mollusca; Gastropoda; Plakobranchidae
Description: tRNA-Asn
Source: RNAcentral